AUUACAUGACAGACAAUUUUCCAGUCUAUGGAAAAAGAAAAACAAAAAAUGAACAUUCCCUGUCCUCAAGAAGUUAGCAUUCUGUCAGAAAUGACUAUAAUGGUGUAUUGAAAAUAUAUACUACAUAUAUUACAAGAUAAUUUUUUAACAGAGACAACUGGUCUCAGAGCAAUCAAAAUGAGCUUACGUAGGAGGUGACAUUUAUAUGAGCUUUGAAGGGAACUAAUAAUUUUAAGGGAUAGAGAGGAGGCAGAAUUACAUUCCAGGCAUGGUGCCUCAUGUGUCUCAGCACAGAAUCAGGGUUUGGCAUUUCACAUGUGUAAAAUAUCAAGGAGGACAGUUUGACUAAACUAAAGAGUAAGUGAAAGAAAAUCAUAUAUCAUGAGACUUUAAAGAUAGAUUGGAGUCAGAUUGUAAAGGGCUUUGAAAUUACCAAGAGAAGAAUUUGUAUUUAAUCCUAGGGAUAAUAGAGAGAUACCAGAGUUUAUUGUUCAAGGUUUGAUAUGGACAGAAUUAUGCUUAGGAAUGUCACUUUGUUAUACAUAUGGAGGUAGGUUGAGAGAAAAAGAAGAAGUAUGGCUACCAAUUAGAGGAAUACUAUAAUAGUACAGCCUUGAGACAGGUAACAGGGGAUUUGAAUUAGUAUAAAUAGUAUAAAUGAAAAAAAAGUAGAUGAUGGGAGAGAUUUGAUAUCUUGGCAUUAUCUACAAGAGUUGGUAACUGAUUAGAUAUAUGAUUGAAGAAGAAUGAGGAUUUGAAGAUUACUCCAAAAAUAGUGCACUUAGGACUCAGAUUUUGGGGAAAAGAUAUUGAAUUCUAUUUUAUAUAUGUUGAUUUUGAGAUGUUCACAAGAUAUUCAAUUCAAAAAAAUUUUAAAGGCAUCUGGUGAUACAGGGGUGAAAUUCUGAAGAGAGGCUAUAAAACCUGAUGUACAGAUGUAAUGUUCUCAGUUCAGUUUUCUGGGAGUCUCUGGGAGCAGCCUUCAUUUCAGUUCAGUAAUCACCACAAGAACAGCUAGGUGUUAAAGUCCAAAUCCUUUAUUAUAUCUUUCAAAGUCUUGUCUCCUUUCCUGGGCCUGGUUAGCUUUCUUAAAGGCCUUCUAGAGUCUUGGUUUCAGUGGAGGAAUGAAGGAGGAGAGCCUGCCACCAGUAUGGUGUGAGAUAGGAUGAAUGAAUCUGAGUCCAAGGGCUUGUGCUUCAGCCUCCAGUCUGCUUGUCUUCUCUAGUUCUCUCUGAAUGAACCUGGUUGAGGUUCCUAGCUCAUAUGCUUUACACUGAGUAUAAACCAAUCAUUAUAUCACUAGGAAACCAUUAUUUGUUGUAAGAGUAAAUCACUCCUACUGAACUUAGAGAACUAUUAAGCACCAUGCUAAACUAGAUAACCAUUGUCUCAUCAAUUCCAUUUAGUUAGUACCUUGUAAGAAUUCUUGUUUCAAGUUCAGAGUUCUGGCCCAUAACAUCUCCUGCUUUCUUUUAUUUUAGAACAUAAGGUGGUACCUCUCCCUGACUUCUCAAGGAGGUGAGAACCCAAAAAAAGGAGGUGACCACACUUUCCUGACACCUCAAAAAAGGAGUGAAAACACCAAAAAAAAGAAGUGCUCCCACCCUCCCUAACAUCUCAGGAAGAGAGAUGAAAACACCAAAGGAAAUGGGGAAUCAAAUCAGAUUAGCAGGUUUCUGAAGGGUCUCAUUUGAAGCAGGCAUACAUAAAUCCAUCAGUAUGGGAGGUGUUAUACAUAAUUAUAUAAAUUACAUAAGCAUAUAGCAAAAUAACCCAGGCUAGUAGUGAUGUAACAAAUAACAUGAGUCAACAUGAGCAAUUAUACAUGUCCAUAAAUUCUAGAAAUAGUCCAAAACCAAUCUAUUGUCCAUUACUUCAUGAUUAGGGAAUCCAAAAUAAUUCCUGCAGAUUCUGAAGCCCUGUAUCAGUCUUAUCAUGUCUCAGAGAAUCCAAUAAUUCCUGCUGGUUCUGAAGUUCUGCAACAGUCUUAUCAAUAAUUUUUCAUCUCAGGGAAUCCAAUGAUUUCUUCUGGUUUUGAAGUUCUGUGACAGUCUCAUUAUCAGACAUGUUCUUUCAGUGUCAGAUGUUUCUUAGAUCUUUUCCUUUGUUCCUAGGUUUUUCCCCUUUUUUCUGUCUCUCUCCAAUGGACAAGGUGAAUACAGCUCUUUUGCACCCAUCUGAUUCCUUCUCCAUCUGUAGAGAUACAAGCAAACCCUCUUUUCCAAGCAGUUAACCUAUCUGGUCCCUUCCAUUUACCACUUUCUGGAUCUUUCCACAUUACCUGGCAAUUAUCUAAAGAUAGUAUAGCUGCUCGCACUGGAUACUCACCUUCUGGUGAGUUAUAAAACCUGUCUGUCGGAGCCAGUGCAUCUUUAUCAAAAAUUUAAAAAUUAAUGUUAUGGAGAGCUAAAUUUAGAAGUUCUCUAGGGUUACUUGUGGCUCCCACAUUCUUUUGUUUUUGGAGGAGUGUCUUAAUGUCUCUGUUUCUCCUCUCUACUAUUGCUUGUCCUUGAGGAUUAAAAGGUAUGCCAGUGGUUUGUAAAAUCUGAUACUGUGCACAAAAGUGUUCAAAAUGUUUAGAAGUAUAUGCAGGUCCUAUUGCUUGUGGCACACCCAUAAUUACAAAAGCUUGUAUAAGGAAGUCAGUGACCAUUUGGGCUGUCUCUUUGGCUGCUGAUAUUAUAAAAGUAAAUCCUGAAAUGGUGUCAUGGGGUAGAAGAUAAGAAGAUUACAAGAAGAACCAGAUCUGUUCGUGAGAAGGAUACUUCCAGAAUUAAAGAAGAAGAGCUUCUAUAAGACAUUUUUAGUUGUGGUAAUUAAAUGGGCCAAAAUACAUUAAAGGGCCAAGUCAGGUGACUGAUGAGAGACUUAAAUGCCUCUUCUAAUCUCCAAGCAGCCACUCUUAGGUGGCUCCCGUGUAUUUCAGCAGUUCUCUCUUGUAUUCCAACAUGUAAAUUUAUCAAUCAUAUUCAUUGAUAAGACAACUGGAUCCAUUGAAGCUUUUAUGUUUGUUGAAAAAGAGUAUAGCACAAGAAAAGAAAGUUAAAAUGGGAAAAUUUGGCACAACAUUUCCAUUAGAGAGUAGGAUGGAAAACACAUUAGGGUGCAGUAGAACCAAGAGAGAAAAUAAUUGGGGGAGAGAGAGAGAGAGAGAGAGAGAGAGAGAGAGAGAGAGAGAGAGAGAGAGAGAGAGAGAAACAGACCAUCCUGGUGGAAUGAAUAGACAGCAAUGUCAAACAGGUCAAGAAUACUGUAAAAGGGCCAAGAAUGUAAGAACUGAGAAAUGAAAAAUAAGAUUUGGUGAUUAAAAGUAUUUUGGUAACUUUGGAGAAAGUAGUUUUAUUUUAGUUAUGAGGUAGAAAAUGAUUUUAAAAGGAGUUGAUAAAUAAAGGUGAAAAGUAAGGCAAUGUGGGAAGGUUUCUUGAAAGGAAUGAAAUACUAAUGUAUCUUAUAACACAAUAGAUAAGAAUUGGCGUAAGCAGUAAGCAUGCAUACAUUUGGAGGUUUAAGAGUAUUUCAUGAAGGGUUGAAAAAAUUAGUAUAGGGCAGAGUAUAGCAAUGUUCCUCAUGUUUUGUAUGAUAUAUAGUUUCAUUAGUCUAUUGAAAGCUAUUGCAAAAAUUAGGAUAAAUCUAGAUGUGUUUAAUGAAGAUUUCAUGAUCCCAAUAUUAUUCCAGAAAAAUAAAGAUAAAUGGAGUUGCCAAAAUCUAUAUGUACCUAAUAGCUUUCAGUUAAAAUGGAAGGUAUCUGCUUUAACAUGAUGUCCUAAGUCAAAGUUGGAGGUUUCCUUUAUUUUGACAGCUAUGUUAUAGAUGAGCUUUUCAAACAAGACAUCAUUUGAGAUGUCAAUAUUUGUAGGGCUAAUGAUUCAUAUUUUAAAAAAAUUAAUUAAAUGCAAUAGAUUUAGUAAAUAUUUUUGCAGCAAAAUGCUUAGUUCUUAAAAUGAACUGUUAUCAGCAGAAAUAUUUUUUUCUCUUCGUACAUUCAUUUCUUCCUUUCUCACUGACAUGCUGGAUUUGUUGCAAUUAAAAUAGCUUUGCAUUAAUAGAUUUGUCAAAACCAAGGUGAUCAGAGAGAAAUUACAUUCAAUAGAUAGACAUUUUGGAGCCCAUAUACAUAUUCAGUUAGACAUUUUUAGAUAAAAAUAAAAUCAUAAACCUAAUAAAACACUCAUGGUUAACAUGAGAUACACACUGACCAAAAUUUCAGAAAACUUCUACUGUUAUUUUUGUCAGUCAGUGGCAAGAAGUCAUUCCUUACUUUCAUUCAUUUUGCUUUCUUUAUACAAUUCCCUUCUUUAUCCCCAUAUUUUUAUUGUCUCCCUGCAAACCUCUCUUCUAAUCAGAAAACAUAAACAUUGUUCUUCCCAGAGGCAUUCGUUUUCCCACUCAAAGUGGACCCAUUAGUGUUGUGCCUUUCAGUGAAUGUUGUCUGAGUUGUACACAUUUAAACUACUUAUCUUAUUUCCUAUAAAUCACUAUCUUCAGGCUUAGUUAUUUGUUCUCCAAACCAUGUAUUCGUAGUCUUGACUAAAGUAAUUCUACAUUUAAAUCUCAGACAACAUAAAGUGAUUUGGGAGAAGAUCAGAUGUUUCUUUUCCUUUCUUGAAAUCUAGGCUUUAAGAAAAGAAGUUAGAAUUUUGUCUGAGUUUAGAAGGUAUAUUCAAAAGAAUACUAGCACUAUUUAAAACUAUGCUUUUCUUUCUUUAUUUUUUAUAUUAAAGAUAAAAAACAACAAAAGUAAAACAUAUAGAUCACUCUGUCUUCUCCCUCCCUAUUCCAUGACCCUCAAAGUCGACUAUAAUUAAGUAUCUUAAGAUAAUUGGAAUUAGAAAAAGAGAAUACAACUUAGUAUUAGCAUAAUAGUCUCCAGAUGAGGAAACUAGAACCAAAAGACAAUAAUGAAAUUUUACUUAAGGUUAUGCAAUCAGAUAGUGACAGAACUGGAAUCAAUAGACCCAAGGUUUCUAUGUAUAGCAUUUUUUUAUGCUAUACUAUGUAGUCUUCAACUUUGGCACUUAGAUUUGUAAUUAACUCAGAGCUUUUGCCCAUAAAAAAACCACUGCAUCCUUGAUUUGUAUACCAGACUGUUAUAUUUUCUGUGGUGUUGCACACAGUUUUGCUGGUUGUUGAUAAAUGUGAUUAAGAAUAUCUCUAAAGCAUAUCUUCUAUCUUCCCCUAAAAUAUACUUCAUUUUAGCUAGCUAGGAUUUAUAUAAUAUCUUAAGGUUUACAAAGAAAUUUUUAAUUUUCAGCUAAUUUUAUCCACAAAGCAACUUUGGGAAGUAGGUGCUAUAAUUAUUACAGAUGAUGAAAUCAAGGCAGAAAAAUGUUAUUAUUAUAUAUCCAUGGUCACACAGCUAAUAAGCUCCUUUUAUGAGUUUAUAGGAAAUAUUAAAUACAAAUAUGCUAAAUAAUGCCAUUAGAAAUGUAGUGUUAAAAUUGUAGGAACAUAGAUUUAGAGCUGAAGGAAUCCUAGAGGUUACCAAAUCCAACGCUUUUAUUUUACAGAUGAGGAAUUUUAAGUUACUACCAGUGAAUGUUAAAUGACAGGAUUUUAAUUAAGGUCUUCUUGAUGCCAAAUGAAUUUUAACCCAACUCUUCCAAACUUCAGGCCUACUUUACCCCCAAGUGCCUUCAUCUUUUUAGUGUUCAUCUCAGUUGGGAAGGAGAUGGAGGAUACCAAAUGUUCACCUAUAUUUUGUCUAUGAAGAAUGGUGUAGUGUAAGAGGUGAUAACCCAGAAUCAGGAAACUGAAAAUAAAUUUCAGUGUCUCUAGUUAUUUUAUGUAUAAAUAUGAGCAAGUUAACUACUGGCUUUAUAGUCUACAGACUUGGUUACACAGAAGAAUGUUCUUCAUGAUCCCAAUCAGGAAAGACAGUUCCUAGAUGGCCACAUUUUCUCUGUCUCCCUCUCCUUCCUUCCUUCUCUCUCUCUCCCUCCCUUCUUCCUUCUCUCUUUCUCUACCUUCCUCAUUUUCUCUCUCUCUCCUUCCCUCCCCUUCUCUCUGUCUUUGUCACUCUGUUUCUGUGUGUAUGUGUGCGUGCAUACGUGCGUGCGUGUGUGUGUGUGUGUGUGUGUGUGUGUAGUCUCUAUCUCUGUCUCUGUCUCUUUCUGUCUCUCUCUAUCCCACUCUUUCUCACUUUCAUUUUUUCUCUCUGUCUCUCAGUCUAGGUCCCUCUGUAUUUGUCUCUAUAGAUAUGCAUAUAUUUGUACAUGUAUCUACAUAUAUAUAUAUAUGUAUUGUACAUAUAUGUAUUUUUAUUUACCUAUAUGUUUAGUCUGGUAAUUCUACCUAAGUACACUAAUAUCACUAAACUGUGCCUACCUUUGAUUUAAUGAUACUGCUAUUAGGUAUAUUUCCCCUUCCAAAAAAAAGAGAGAAAAGAUCCAUAUUACAAAAAUAUUCAGAGCAGUAAUUAUUUUUGCCACAUAGCAUAAGAAUUAAUUUGGUACCUCUCUAUAAUUUGAAGAAUAGACAAACAAAUUAUGAUAUAAUAUUAUUGCAUUAUAAAAAUCAUGAAAGAAAUAAAUUCACAGAAAUCUGAGAAGACCUGUAUGAACAUAUAUGGUAAGAUAAGCAUAGCUGCAAAUAAAAUUAUAGAGGGGAUACAAUAUUGGGAACUGAAACAAAUUUGAAAUUUUUAAGAAUUAUAUUUAAAGCAAUAAUAUUCAAGACUCCAGAGGAUCAGUGAUGAAGCAAGUUUUCCAUGAGGAACAGAAUGAGACCAAAGCAUGGAUUUGUUUUACUUGACUAUGCUAAUUUAUUACAAUAAUAGGAUUUUAUUUAUUUUGUGGUGAUGGUUGUAGUAGUGGUGGGAAUUUAAGAGAGGAGAGAACUAGUGAGCUAAUAAAAAUGACCAAAAAGGAAAAAAAUAUAUCAAUGAAAUAUUUAAAGAAAAUAUAUCAAAGAAAACAGAAGGUGGUUCAGAGUGCAACAUAAUUAUGAACAAUGACUUUGGAACUAAUGUGCUGAAUUAUGACAUAAAAAAAUAGCCUUUAUAUAAAACAAAGUGUUUUCAUAUCAAAUUCUCCUUUUCAGUUCUUCUUUAAAUGUGAAAAUUUAUUUAUUUUAACAUUUAUUUUAAAUUAUAAAUUGAAUAUAAAAUAUAUAAUGAUGAUUAAUAAUAAUUUUCAAAAAUAUUCAUUGUCUUCUAGGAGAAUAUAGAAAACAUUAAUAACAAGUACACCAAACACUGCCAUUAGAAAUCUAGUAUUAAAAUUGUAGGAAUAUAUAUUUAGAGCUGGAAGGAAUCCUAGAAGUCACCAAAUCUAGCUCUUUUAUUUUACAGAUGAGGAAACUGAGGCUCAGGAAUUUUAAGUGACUUCCAGUGAUUAUUAAAAGGCAGAAUUUUAGCUCAGAUCUCUUUGACUCCAAAUCCAACACCUUAAUUCUUUCAUAUAAGUAAACUUAUUUCCUUUCAUCCAAGACCAAUGUUAUCUAUUAUUUAAUAUUUUAUGUAGUCAAUUAAAAUAGAUAGAAUGUUAUGAUAUUCUAUGCUUCCUUUAUUAUAUAUUUCAUUUAUAAAAAAGUAUGCUGUCAAAAGCUAUAUUAAAGUUCAUGUCAAUGUAAUAGACAAUGUAGAAGAGCACUAGAUUUAGAAUCAAAAAAUAUUUUUAAUCCCUAAUUCUACUGUUAACUACACAGCACACACACACACACACACACACAUUUCUACAUAAUAUACAUAAGCAUAUGUAUUUAUAAACAUGUUUUAUACAUACAUAUAUACAAACAUACACAAAUAUAAUACUCAUUGUAUACAUCUAUGUAUGUAUAUAUACAUGUGUGUAUUUAUACACAUAUAGGUUUUCUUGGGCAAGUUACCUAGUUAUCUUAUCUCUGUGGGGAUCUUGUUGGCUGUUAACUGAGAAAGUUGGGCUAAAACAUCUCUAAAUUAUCUUUUAUUUCUAAAUUGAUGCUGCUAUGUACUUAUCUGGAAUUCAGAAUUAUUCUGAGUUGCCAUCCAUGGAGAAGAGACUUGACACAGUAAUUAGCACAUUCACAUUUCUAUUUUAUUCAUAAAAUAGCAAUAACAUAAACAGCUGGCAUUAUAUAUAGUAUGUAUAUAUGUAUGUAUAUACAUAUAUAUAGUCCCAUAUGUAUAGGACUUUACUAUAUAUACUCGUUAUAGUGUUUAAGGAUUGUAGGGCAUUUUAUAGUUUAUAUCAUUUACUCAUAUAUUGAUUCUGUUACAUAGAUAUUAUGGUACUAGUAUUCUAGUUUUACAGAUGAGAAAACAGUCUCAAAAAGGUAAAGUAAUUGCUUAGGAUUGUAUAUCUAGAAAAUAAUCAGAAGAAAGAUUCAAACUCAGAGUCCAAUACUCUUCCCAUUGAUUUGCCAAGGUUUAUAAAAUGGCAUUAUGGGUAUCUGUGGCAUUUCUUUAUUAUUUCACAUGUUAGAGUCACAGGAUCCCAGAAGUGGAAAAGAUCUUAGAGAUUAUAUAAUCCAAUCUUCUUUAUUUUAAAAAUGAGAAAAUGAGACAUAGAAGAGGGAAAUGACUUUUCUAAGUUCACACAACCAGUUCUUACUAUAGUAAUGACUAGGAUUUAGCCAGGUAUCCUGGCUCUCAGAGCAGUAAUCUUCCUAUUUUAUUGCAGCAUGGUUAUAUUAUAAUGAUGUAAUGCUACAUCAUUAUAAAUACCUAGGAGAAAUUUAUAUUCCCUUCAUUUCCUAUAGAAUAGAGGUUUGUUCUGAUUAGGACUAACCAAAUUUGCUGUUAUUAAUAAACUUGUCACAGAUUAUUGAUAUUUAAAAAACAUUCACACUUUUAAUCUAUGAUAAAAAAAAAACAAAACAUACCCAAGAAACCACAACAUAAUAAUUGUAUGAGAAUUCUGUUCUCACCAGAUAAAAUCUCAUUUAUUAAAAAUGUAGGGGAUUGUAGGGAAAGUAAAGUUUCCAAAUCACCAUAUUUGGACUAACUGGAAUUUUAUUCAAAACAAAAACAGCUCCACUAUACUAUUGGGAUAACGAUUGGUUUGAAUAAUAUGCCAUUUUGAAUGCAAAGAUAUUAACUUAAUGAGGUCUUACUGUAUUGAUAUUAAUUUCUGAGUGUAUAAUGAACUGCUUAGCUGUCUAUAGUCUGCAUUUUGGCAUCAGAUAAAAAUUUGAAAUGAAUGAGUUAUAGCUUCAAUAUUGUACUAUGGCAUUUGAAUUUAACUUGCUUGUGAGUACUGAUACUCUGUUCUAUCAUCUGUGAAAAAAACAUAAAUCAAAAAAAUAUAUCAAGGAAGGAUGAAGUUGUGUGCUUACUGGCACAAAUCACCUGUAUUAAACUGUCAUCAUUGUUUUCACUUAAAUUUAUUGGCUGAUAAGCUUAACAAUAUGCCUAAAAUUAUACAUUAGUCAAAAGCAGUAAAUGUUUACUGAUUUGUCAGUUUCAAAUACACAAAUUACGUACCUUUUAUUAUUAAAGAAAUGUCAUUACUUUUUGUCCUGAAUAUUUUUCCGUUAACAUUUAACUUUGAAGAUGAAAAAUUAUGGAUAUUUUAUUACAUUGAAAGAAUACCUAUAUUAAUUUGAAAAUCAGUUGUUAGAAUAUUGAAUAAGGACCAUUUCCUUCCCCCUUAAUUUUACCUAUGAAUUUAGCUUCAUAGAGAUUGCUUUAAGCUAAGGUAAAAUUACUGACAUUUGAUAUCCUCUCCAAUCUGCAUACAAUCAACUUUCCUAGACUUAUUUUGAACCUUUUGUUAUUUCUCUGACCAGUCUGGAUAAUAAGCUCUCAAUACCAAUGAGCUCUCAUCCCCUUAGACAUCAUACAUUUAUCUAGAUGAUUCCCUAUACCUGGAAUGCAAUCUAAUCUAUAUGUACUUGUUGUAAUUCUUCCUAAAUUUCUAGGCCAGCUCAUGUGUUACCUUUUCCAUGAAAUAUUUCCUGACCUCUUUCAGAUAAAAGUCAUUGUCCCCCUUUUGUUUUAUAAUGCUUUCAGUUUCUUCUUAGCUCUUUCAAAUUCUGCCUUAUAUUAUCAUGAUAAAAGUAAAUAAUUUGUAUAAUAUCAUAAUGUAUAAUAAAUAUUGUUUAUUUAAGUGGAUAUUAUAUCUUUUAUUAGAUUAUAAAUUUUUGCAGGUAAAAUUAUAUCAAAAUUCAACUUUAUAUCAUUAGUUCAACAUUCAACAUUCAACAUCCAAAGAUAAUGGGUAAUGUGAGUCUUAAACAAUAUUUGUUGAUCUAUUAAGUACUGCUUCUCAUUUAUCAAAUACACUUAGCAUGUUUAUUUUCUUUCUUUUUUUUUCUUUUUUUUUUUUGAGGCAAUUGGUGUUAAGGGACUUGCCUAGGUCACACAGCUAGGAAGUGUUAAGUAUCUGAGGCCAGCUUUGAACUCAGGUACUCCUGAACUCAGGGCUGGUGCUCUAUUCACUGCACCAUCUAGCUGUCCCCAGCAUGAUUAUUUUCUUGUGCAAAUAACCUGGAAUAUUUUGAUAAGCAUGUUAGAUGAUGUCAAAACAUUACAACAAAAAGUCCUUAAUCUCAUUUUAAAAGCAAAUUUUAUGCCCUUAGAGAUUGCAAGUUAUAAUGAAAGUAAUGCUGAGUUUACAGGCAAAAUACUUGAAUUUAAGUCUUGGCUUUAUAUAUUGUCUCUAACUCUACACCCAUGGAGAGUUUAAGUAAACUCUAUAAAUCAAUAUUGCCAUAUUUAUAAAAUGGAGAUAAUAACAUUUGAACUUUGUUUCAUAGGACAUUUUGUACAUUGUCAUUUUAUUGGGCAGUUCAGUAGUGCAGUGGACAGAGUGCCAGGUCUGGAGUCAGGAAAACCUGUCUUUCUCAAUUAAAAUCUGACCUCAGACAGUUUACUAACUGUGUGAGCCUGGACAAGUCUUUUAACCCUGUUUGCUGAGUGAAAUGAGCUGGAGAAGGAAAUGGCAAGCCAUUCUAGUGUCUUUGGAGGGGGGGAAAACUCAUAAAAGGGAACAUGACUGAAAAAUGAAACAUUAUAUAUAACUUUUCUUUGUGUAUAGAAAUGGCAAGUAAAUCACAUCCAUAAUUUGUGCUUUGUCCUGAUUAUCUUCAUUAUUCAUAACUUUGCUACCUCUAAGAGCUGACUAAAUUGCCACAUUAGAUAAAUGUUUGACUACCACCUUUUGACAAGUGUUACACCCCUAUGGAUUACUCUCACCUGGUAGCUCCUCUUUGAGCUACUCUUAAUGCCCGUCAGUCAACGGCCCGGCUAGGCCACAUUUACCCAUCUUCAGGCACCAACCCAGAUCCCACAGAGACUGACUGACCAGAAGUUAAUGUUUUAUUUUAAAGUAAAUUGGAUUAGAUAGUGUCUGCAAUCAUGACAAUUGUUCUUGGGACCCUGGAGCAUCACUUAUAGAAAAAACAACAAUAACAUCAAAGCAAAUGAAUGAGGAAUGAGGAAUUCACCAUCCAUUGUCAUCCUGUUCUUCAAG
This 11390-nucleotide long non-coding RNA is filed under the name Sarcophilus harrisii (Tasmanian devil). RNAcentral's name for it is "lncRNA (ENSSHAG00000025552.1)". Lineage: Eukaryota; Metazoa; Chordata; Mammalia; Dasyuromorphia; Dasyuridae. The record is from RNAcentral.